Molecule: ribosomal RNA, 253 nt
Filed under: uncultured bacterium
Lineage: Bacteria
Description: partial 16S ribosomal RNA
Rfam family: Bacterial small subunit ribosomal RNA
Source: RNAcentral
UACGUAGGGGGCAAGCGUUAUCCGGAUUUACUGGGUGUAAAGGGAGCGUAGACGGUUAGGUAAGUCAGAUGUGAAAGCCCAGGGCUCAACCCUGGGACUGCAUUUGAAACUAUGUAACUGGAGUGCAGGAGAGGUAAGUGGAAUUCCUAGUGUAGCGGUGAAAUGCGUAGAUAUUAGGAGUAACACCAGUGGCGAAGGCGGCUUACUGGACUGUAACUGACGUUGAGGCUCGAAAGCGUGGGGAGCAAACAGG